UGUGUCUUUUUACUUUGCUGGAGCUUCACACCAGGACUGAGCAGUGAAGUGUGUUGCUGCUGGGUCUUUUUAUUCUGCCUGAACUCUCUUUUCAGGCGUUUGCGGUUAUCAAACCUACUCGGCUAAAAAAAAAAACAACCAAAACCCAGUCUCCGAGCAGGAGGACGAAGCCCCUUCCUAGCACUAAAACUUUUGCUGCUGCGUUGUAAAAGGCACCUCCCGUACCUGGCCGACAGUUUUGGCCAGAAAUGG
Long non-coding RNA from Pygoscelis adeliae (Adelie penguin), 252 nucleotides. RefSeq lists it as uncharacterized. The record is from RefSeq and is a predicted model, not a curated record. Lineage: Eukaryota; Metazoa; Chordata; Aves; Sphenisciformes; Spheniscidae. The transcript is spliced from 3 exons.